UAUGUUAUUGGAAACGGCGGUGUCAAGGUCCCAGUAUCGGAUCUUGUCGGGAAGAACAUCCUCCUCUACUUCUCUGCCCACUGGUGCCCGCCAUGCCGUGCCUUCCUACCCCAAUUAGUCAAAACAUACCACAAGAUCAAGGAGGAGGACAAUGCCUUCGAGAUGAUAUUCAUCUCCAGUGACCGCGACCAAGAGUCCUUUGACGACUACUUUGCAACCAUGCCAUGGUUAGCUCUUCCCUUCGGAGACACAAGAAAGAAGUCCCUGUCUCGAUUGUUCAAGGUCCGCGGCAUCCCGAG
Molecule: unclassified non-coding RNA, 299 nt
Filed under: Hevea brasiliensis (rubber tree)
Lineage: Eukaryota; Viridiplantae; Streptophyta; Magnoliopsida; Malpighiales; Euphorbiaceae
Source: RNAcentral